UGCGGAAAGAGUGAGGGAUGACAGAUGGACAGCCUUUGUGCUCUACUCCUAUUGGCUCAAUCAACAUCAAGACAACUCCAGGAAGGUCCCUAGCAGGUGACUGAUUAUUGAAUAUGUCUACAACUCUGUGAGCUUUGAAAGGUCAGAGGAGUGAGCUGCCAGAAGUCCAGGAAUCAGACACCACAUGGCAGGAUAGUCCUGAGAAGUGACCUGCUUGCCCAAGGCCCACAACAUAUAACCCUGAGAUGCCGUGUCUGCUACAUUUAGAUGUAAACUUGAUGAGGCGACUGAGCCCCAGAAAGGAAGAGCAGCAGAGGAAGCAUUUGAACUCAAGUCUUCUCUCUUCAGGUUCAGUGACCUUUGCCUCUUGUUACAUUGUUGUUUGUCCAUCAUUCUUGAAGAAGACCAUGA
This is a long non-coding RNA of Vombatus ursinus (common wombat), 411 nucleotides long. RefSeq lists it as uncharacterized. The transcript has 3 exons. Lineage: Eukaryota; Metazoa; Chordata; Mammalia; Diprotodontia; Vombatidae. The record is from RefSeq and is a predicted model, not a curated record.